UGGGGAAUUUUGGACAAUGGGCGAAAGCCUGAUCCAGCAAUGCCGCGUGUGUGAAGAAGGCCUUCGGGUUGUAAAGCACUUUUGUCCGGAAAGAAAUCCUUGGCUCUAAUACAGUCGGGGGAUGACGGUACCGGAAGAAUAAGCACCGGCUAACUACGUGCCAGCAGCCGCGGUAAUACGUAGGGUGCAAGCGUUAAUCGGAAUUACUGGGCGUAAAGCGUGCGCAGGCGGUUUGCUAAGACCGAUGUGAAAUCCCCGGGCUCAACCUGGGAACUGCAUUGGUGACUGGCAGGCUAGAGUAUGGCAGAGGGGGGUAGAAUUCCACGUGUAACAGUGAAAUGCGUAGAGAUGUGGAGGAAUACCGAUGGCGAAGGCAGCCCCCUGGGCCAAUACUGACGCUCAUGCACGAAAGCGUGGGGAGCAAACAGGAUUAGAUACCCUGGUAGUCCACGCCCUAAACGAUGUCAACUAGUUGUUGGGGAUUCAUUUCCUUAGUAACGUAGCUAACGCGUGAAGUUGACCGCCUGGGGAGUACGGUCGCAAGAUUAAAACUUAAAGGAAUUGACGGGGUCAUAGCUGUUUCCU
Molecule: ribosomal RNA, 585 nt
Filed under: uncultured bacterium
Lineage: Bacteria
Description: partial 16S ribosomal RNA
Rfam family: Bacterial small subunit ribosomal RNA
Source: RNAcentral